RNAcentral lists this unclassified non-coding RNA (240 nucleotides) under Phylloporus sp. Its description in RNAcentral is "partial contains small subunit ribosomal RNA, internal transcribed spacer 1, and 5.8S ribosomal RNA". The stretch from base 1 to 46 matches the Rfam family "Eukaryotic small subunit ribosomal RNA", at positions 1786 to 1831 of the family's 1831-position model. The record is from RNAcentral. Lineage: Eukaryota; Fungi; Basidiomycota; Agaricomycetes; Boletales; Boletaceae.
AAGUCGUAACAAGGUUUCCGUAGGUGAACCUGCGGAAGGAUCAUUAACAAAUCUAGAGUGUCGGCUUCUUAGGAGGCUGGCAUGUAAACCAUUGUGAAUUGGUAGUAGAGUGGGUGGGCAACUGCCUUGCUUGCUACCUCUAUGUUCGUGCGGCUUGCCCACGAUACGUAAACGAGACAAAAGAGUCGGAUAAAUAUAAAUAAUUAUAAACAACUUUUAACAAUGGAUCUCUUGGCUCUU